CCUACGGGGGGCUGCAGUGGGGAAUAUUGCACAAUGGGCGCAAGCCUGAUGCAGCAACGCCGCGUGAGUGAUGAAGGCCUUCGGGUUGUAAAACUCUGUCCUAUGGGAAGAAACAAAUGACGGUACCAUGGGAGGAAGCCCCGGCUAACUACGUGCCAGCAGCCGCGGUAAUACGUAGGGGGCAAGCGUUAUCCGGAAUCACUGGGCGUAAAGGGUGCGUAGGUGGCUUAUCAAGCCAGAGGUGAAAGGCAGUGGCUCAACCAUUGUAAGCCUUU
This 275-nucleotide ribosomal RNA is filed under the name uncultured bacterium. RNAcentral describes it as "partial 16S ribosomal RNA". It matches the Rfam family "Bacterial small subunit ribosomal RNA", at positions 338 to 628 of the family's 1533-position model. The record is from RNAcentral.